AGUCUCUCCAGCAGACAGCAUGGAGACUCUGGUGAACAAAGAGAUUUCAGCAGAGCCUACAACAGGCAGUGGGGUCACAGAGGUCAAAGAUGAGACUGAGGCAGAAUCAAGAGAUAGCACUACUGAAGGACAUGAAUUACAACAGCAAGAAGUUUGUGAGG
Molecule: long non-coding RNA, 161 nt
Organism: Seriola dumerili (greater amberjack)
Lineage: Eukaryota; Metazoa; Chordata; Actinopteri; Carangiformes; Carangidae
Exons: 3
Source: RefSeq, a predicted model, not a curated record